This 996-nucleotide unclassified non-coding RNA is filed under the name Hevea brasiliensis (rubber tree). Lineage: Eukaryota; Viridiplantae; Streptophyta; Magnoliopsida; Malpighiales; Euphorbiaceae. The record is from RNAcentral.
CAAGAAGGCGGCAAAAAAAAUGGAAAAAAAUUUAUCAUCAUUGAAAAAAAAGCAUAUUUGAUUUUAGAAGACAGCUCGAGCAGAUGAAAUCACAAUUUACAUAGAGCUCAGAAGCAGGUAUAUAGUAACCUAAGCUACAAUCCAACCCAAACAGAAAUCCUCAAGGAGAGUUAAGAAACAAGGUUAUUAAGGCAUGACAGCAGAAGCCUCGCGUAUUUCAGAAAUUGCAACAACCUUAUAGAACUUCUCUAAUCAGAGCUCAUCAAAUAUUAUCAGGCUGCUACCUCCAAAACUAGUAUCUUCAAAGAACGGAGAUAUAAGGAAAGCACAUGACUAUUCUGUCAGUCAUUUAAAUUUCCAUACCACAGGACAAUCAAAUUCAAUAAAUUCAUUCAUAGUUGAUGAUUACUUGUUAUGUAAGAAGUACAAAGCAUAAAAACUUGCUUUUCCAUAGCGAAUGUUAGGUCAUAGCAUUCGAAAAAAGAAAAAAGCAAAAUCAGAGACCAAGUAAAUCAACCUGUGACAUGACUACUCGAUAGCUGUAAGAUUGAGUAGGAGCCCCGUGUAGGAAGACAAUUGUUCCCCGUCGACUCUCAGGUGGUCCAGUUUCUCUAACAAACCACGUAAACUUCCCAGAUUUUACAUAUGAACCAUAUUCCUUUCCCUUGUCUUCAAUCCUAUUGAGCAUUUGGCCAACAUUGCCGUCCUCAGCAGGGCUCUCAGGGAGCUGGAUGGCACUACGGCUGGAAGGGUUAUCUGUGACAAAACCAAAAGGAUUAAAUGCCGGGGCAUCAUCUUUGCCUUUGUCUUUGCUGCCUUCACAGUUUGUGGCAUUUGCUAUAAUUUUAGUUGCUCUUCUUAAGUGGUUUGUGUUGCUUAUUUUGGCGGCACAGGUUGCUAGAGGAGGAGGAAGAGGAGAGAGCAGAGCCCAUGCCAUUUGGUCUGCUUGUGUGCGUUUGUUUCUGCGGGGAGCUUUGAUUUUAAGACUGAACAGCC